This 292-nucleotide ribosomal RNA is filed under the name uncultured bacterium. Its description in RNAcentral is "partial 16S ribosomal RNA". It matches the Rfam family "Bacterial small subunit ribosomal RNA", at positions 505 to 796 of the family's 1533-position model. The record is from RNAcentral.
GUGUCAGCAGCCGCGGUAAUACGUAGGUGGCAAGCGUUGUCCGGAUUUAUUGGGUUUAAAGGGUGCGUAGGCGGCCCUGUAAGUCAGUUGUGAAAUACGGCAGCUUAACUGUCGAGGUGCAAUUGAUACUGCAGGGCUUGAGUACUGAUGAGGUAGGCGGAAUGGACGGUGUAGCGGUGAAAUGCUUAGAGAUCGUCCAGAACACCGAUAGCGAAGGCAGCUUACUAAGGAGUAACUGACGCUGAGGCACGAAAGUGUGGGGAUCAAACAGGAUUAGAUACCCGAGUAGUCC